AACAGGAUUAGAUACCCUGGUAGUCCACGCCCUAAACGAUGUCAACUGGUUGUUGGGAGGGUUUCUUCUCAGUAACGUAGCUAACGCGUGAAGUUGACCGCCUGGGGAGUACGGCCGCAAGGUUGAAACUCAAAGGAAUUGACGGGGACCCGCACAAGCGGUGGAUGAUGUGGUUUAAUUCGAUGCAACGCGAAAAACCUUACCUACCCUUGACAUGCCAGGAAUCUUGCAGAGAUGUGAGAGUGCUCGAAAGAGAACCUGGACACAGGUGCUGCAUGGCCGUCGUCAGCUCGUGUCGUGAGAUGUUGGGUUAAGUCCCGCAACGAGCGCAACCCUUGUCAUUAGUUGCUACGAAAGGGCACUCUAAUGAGACUGCCGGUGACAAACCGGAGGAAGGUGGGGAUGACGUCAGGUCAUCAUGGCCCUUAUGGGUAGGGCUACACACGUCAUACAAUGGCCGGGACAGAGGGCUGCCGACCCGCGAGGGGGAGCUAAUCCCAGAAACCCGGUCGUAGUCCGGAUCGCAGUCUGCAACUCGACUGCGUGAAGUCGGAAUCGCUAGUAAUCGCGGAUCAGCUUGCCGCGGUGAAUACGUUCCCGGGUCUUGUACACACCGCCCGUCACACCAUGGGAGCGGGUUCUGCCAGAAGUAGUUAGCCUAACCGCAAGGAGGGCGAUUACCACGGCAGGGUUCGUGACUGGGGUGAAGUCGUAACAAGGUAACC
RNAcentral lists this ribosomal RNA (725 nucleotides) under uncultured bacterium. RNAcentral's name for it is "bacterial SSU rRNA". It matches the Rfam family "Bacterial small subunit ribosomal RNA", at positions 771 to 1501 of the family's 1533-position model. The record is from RNAcentral.